GAUGAACGCUGGCGGCGGGCCUAAUACAUGCAAGUCGAACGAACAGACGAUGAGCUUUCUCCUCUGACGUUAGCGGCUGACGGGUGAGUAACACGUGGAUAACCUACCUCUAAUUCGGGGAGAAUUUCGGAAAACCGGUGCUAAUAAUGGAUAAUAUAUUGAACGGCUGGAUGCAGGAGUGAAACACGGUUUUCCCGACAGUAUGAGAUGGUGCCGCGCCGGAUUAGCUAGUUGGUAAGGUAACGGCUCACCAAGGCAACGAUGCGUAGCCGAGCUGAGAGGGUGAUCGGCCACACUGGAACUGAGACACGGUCCAGACUCCUACGGGAGGCAGCAGUGGGGAAUAUUCCGCAAUGGGCGAAAGCCUGACCGAGCAACGCCGCGUGGGUGAUGAAGGCCUUCGGAUCGUAAAACUCUGUUAUUGGGAAAGAAAAGAUGUAUAAGUAACUAUGGACGUCCUGACGGUACCCAAAGAGAAAGCACCGGCUAACUUCGUG
RNAcentral lists this ribosomal RNA (497 nucleotides) under uncultured bacterium. Its description in RNAcentral is "partial 16S ribosomal RNA". It matches the Rfam family "Bacterial small subunit ribosomal RNA", at positions 28 to 507 of the family's 1533-position model. The record is from RNAcentral.